Long non-coding RNA from Hevea brasiliensis (rubber tree), 514 nucleotides. RefSeq lists it as uncharacterized. The record is from RefSeq and is a predicted model, not a curated record. NCBI's taxonomy places the organism in Eukaryota, Viridiplantae, Streptophyta, Magnoliopsida, Malpighiales, Euphorbiaceae. The transcript is spliced from 2 exons.
UCUUCUCUUCUUCUCUUUAUGGCCGAAUUCAACUUUCUUCUUCCUCUAUAGAUUUCCUUUUAUCAACGUUGCUAAUCUCUUGAAUUCUUUCCACAAAAUCCAUAGCUUCCUUCAUUAAACUUUAACAUUUCACCUUGGGCAAGCUAGAGGUACCAAAAAGAAGAGGAGAAAAGGAAGAAUUGGAAGCUUGGGAUCUUACCAUAAAAGUAUUGAAGAUAAAGCCCAGUGGAUCUUAGACUGGAAUUUUGGAGUCUGGAUCUGCAGAAGUGUCAAGGUUGUCACCUCCUCAGCAAUGCAUGUAGAUAGGGCCCAUAUGAGUUAUGUAGUGUAUUUUGCAUAUUACAAAUAUUCCUUAUGUUGUAAUACAAAUUAAGAAUUGUGUUUAAUAAGUAUGUGAUGUAAAUUUAUAAAUUAGCUCAUCUAUAUGUAAUUAAUUUGUAUAUCAUGUAAACUAUGAAUUUAUGUAAUUGGAUUGUAAAUUAUGUGAAUUAAUGAAAUUUCAGUUAUUUUGAUA